RNAcentral lists this ribosomal RNA (253 nucleotides) under uncultured bacterium. Its description in RNAcentral is "partial 16S ribosomal RNA". It matches the Rfam family "Bacterial small subunit ribosomal RNA", at positions 524 to 776 of the family's 1533-position model. The record is from RNAcentral.
UACGUAGGGCGCAAGCGUUGUCCGGAAUUAUUGGGCGUAAAGAGCUCGUAGGCGGCUUGUCGCGUCGGAUGUGAAAGCCCGGGGCUUAACUCCGGGUCUGCAUUCGAUACGGGCAGGCUAGAGUUCGGUAGGGGAGAUCGGAAUUCCUGGUGUAGCGGUGAAAUGCGCAGAUAUCAGGAGGAACACCGGUGGCGAAGGCGAGUCCCUGGACAACUUCUGACGCUGAGGCACGAAAGCUAGGGGAGCAAACAGG